AUAUCCGCUGAGUGACCCUUACAAGUCCUUCUUGAUCUGAAGUGGAAUAGGUGCCGCUGUUGCUGCUGGUGUUGAGUACAGAACCGUAGCAGGUCAUGGGGCUGGAGGACGAGCGAAAGGUGCUGACCGGAUCCGGAGAUCCCAAGGAGGAGGAAGAGGAGGAGGAGGAAUUAGUGAUAGGACUGAGGCUUUCAGUGCAUACUGGCAACCUUGGAAGGCAGGAAUGUGAAACUUUCCCCUACUACUUAGCAUCAGAAUUGAAUGGGAGACCCCAUUCUCCCAUUUCUGGCGGCAUUGUGGCUCUGCCAGCUGGCCUUCUGCACGGAUCCCCUAACAACAGUGAGAGAGCAAUGCGAGCAGCUGGAGAAAUGUGUAAAGGCUCGGGAGCGGCUAGAGAUGUGUGACCAGCGUGUAUCCUCCAGGUCACAGACAGAGGAGGAUUGCACGGAGGAGCUCUUUGACUUCCUGCAUGCAAGGGACCACUGCGUGGCCCACAAACUCUUCAACAGCUUGAAAUAAAUGUGCUUACUUCACCCCAGCCUUCAUCACCCGAGCAUCAGGAUAUUUCAUGGUUUUGACCAUGCCAUUUCUUCCUUAUAAGUGUAACUGUGAACCUCAUGGAUUUUGGCUUAGGCAAGUAACUUCUAUGUAGUUAGCUGUGAUUCCUCUUAAUAAAGUCCAGUGAUCUGCAGACCUGCA
This is an RNA transcript of Enhydra lutris kenyoni (northern sea otter), 699 nucleotides long. It is a transcript of the gene named cytochrome b-c1 complex subunit 6, mitochondrial, with no coding region annotated. The record is from RefSeq and is a predicted model, not a curated record. The transcript has 5 exons. NCBI's taxonomy places the organism in Eukaryota, Metazoa, Chordata, Mammalia, Carnivora, Mustelidae.